GACGGAGGGUGCUAGCGUUGUUCGGAAUUACUGGGCGUAAAGGGCGCGUAGGCGGCUCUUGAAGUCGGAUGUGAAAGCCCGGGGCUCAACCUCGGAACGGCAUCCGAUACUCUUGGGCUUGAGACCGGAAGAGGUGAGUGGAAUACCCAGUGUAGAGGUGAAAUUCGUAGAUAUUGGGUGGAACACCGGUGGCGAAAGCGGCUCACUGGUCCGGUUCUGACGCUGAGGCGCGAAAGCGUGGGGAGCAAACAGG
This 253-nucleotide ribosomal RNA is filed under the name uncultured Alphaproteobacteria bacterium. RNAcentral's name for it is "partial 16S ribosomal RNA". It matches the Rfam family "Bacterial small subunit ribosomal RNA", at positions 524 to 776 of the family's 1533-position model. Lineage: Bacteria; Pseudomonadati; Pseudomonadota; Alphaproteobacteria. The record is from RNAcentral.